AUGGCUCUCUCCUCCCCUCCCUCGCCCCCUCCCCGCGGGACGCCGUCGGCUUGCGGUUCCCCCUCGUCCCCGGCGUCCAAGUCAGAUUCGCUCCCCUGCUCCCUUCUCCCCUCGUGCUCCUCUCCGAGCUAUCCGCCGGCGGCGGGGCCUGAACCCCUCCCACCUGCGUUCCCCCCUCCCUGUCCGGUGGCCCUGGCAGCGCCACGGGCCAACAAGUUCUGGGCCCUUGAUUCCGACGACUCUGGCUCCAAUUCUGAUCCUGAGACUCCCCUUCCUCCUCGCUCGGCAUCGGUGGUUGGGUUGCCUCCGUUAUUGGUGGCGGGCCGUCGGCGCAAGUUUGCUCCGGGGGGUCGGGGCCGGCUGUGUGCGCUUGAUGCGGGCCCGGAUGGAUGGCGUCGUGUUGGCCGUGGGCGCCGGCGCGCCGCUCCCUGGGCGGCGGAUCCUUCUUUGGUGAGCCCGGGGGUGGACGCCAUGGCCUCACCCGUCUCAUCCUCCUCGGUGGAGAUCUGGGAUCGGGUCUUGCGUUGGUGCCCCGGUCCGUGGGCCGGGUCCCUCUGGUCGGUGACGGGCCGUGUGGGCCUGUGUCGGCCCCUUCGCUGGAUUCCACGGCUGAUUCCCCCCCCCCUCGUGUCUGAGUCUGAUGGGCCUAGGCCAACCCAGUUGAGUCCGCCUCCCCCUUCGGCCCUUUCGACAGAGCCCGGCCUGGCUGGCUCCGGCUAUUUAUGGGUCCGGAAGGGGUCGGUUCCCCCUUUUCUAGGGUUUCCUGCCUCCGCUGCUGAUCUGCGACGGCGCCGUUUCCCUAUCCGCCGCUUUGUCAGAUCCAAGCCUCCCCCUCCCCUCCUCCUCCCCUUCUCGUCGGUGGUGGCGAUGGACCGCUCCCGUGGGUCCUCCAGCGACGCUGUCUCCGGCCUCAAGCGGGGGCGGGACGGCUCUGGCGACGCCGCUGCGGAUCUGGAGUUUGAGGCGUCGCUCCGCGCCAAGCUCCAGGCUUCGCGGUCGGAGGCGGGUGCCGCUUCGCCGCGUGCGUCUGGUUCCGGGCCGGUGGCUUCUCCGUCCUUGGCGCCCGCAGCUCCGGUGCAUGUGGUCGACCCUUGGGAACAGGCGGCGCGGGGGAGCCGGGCGGGAUCUUCGGGCCCCUCCUCGUCUCCUUCCUCGCUUGCUCCCAUGGGUGGGCCGCCGCGGGCGCCGGCGGCGGGCGCCGGCGGGCCGUCCCGCUUCGUUCCUCGUGGUGGCUCUGGGGCCCCGGCCCGGCGUCCGGCUGGCCCUGCGGCGGGACGUGGUGCUGGCGCGGGUGCCGUCGGUGGUUCUUCUGGAGACGGCAUCCUCCCUCCGCCGCCUUCUCGUGGUGCGAACCGUAACUCCUCUCACUCCCAGGUUUCUAAUCCCAUCCUCACCUGCUUCGCGUGUCAUCGCCCUGGCCAUUUCCAGUCUCGGUGCGAGAACCCUCCUUUCUGUCUCAUCUGUAGGGAGGAUGGACACCUAACGGUGGACUGUCAGAGUAGGAUCAAGCCCCCCUCCUUCGUCCAUUUUGGGAUUGGCCUCCCGGGUUGCUCUUUUUUUGCCAUGGACAAGGAAGUCCCCGCAGUUGCUCCCAUUCCCUCCCUGUCCAACGUGGGUGUCAUUACUGUCCAAGACAAGCGUAUCUCUUCACAAGCCCUCUUGGAUGAACUUCAUAUGUGGGAUGAAGGGGGUUGGGACUGGCAGAUCCGGCAGCUUUCUGAUUUCGAGUUUGCGGCCACUUUCCCCUCUAAAGAGAGUCUUCGCAUGAUGUCUUCCUGUACCAGUUUCACUCUCCCUGUGAAUCAACUUGUUGUAUCGGUCAAAGCGGCUUCCAACGGAUCCAAGACCAUAUCUCCUCUGUCUGAUGUCUGGGUGCUCGUUGAUGAUGUGCCUCCCAGCUUGCGCACCGCGUCCUUCUUGAUGGCUUUUGGGGUGCUUAUCGGGAAACCUAUUGAGGUCGAUCUUGCUUCGCUGUCGGUUCUGGGUCCUGCUCGCCUUCGUGUGUGGUGUGUUGAUCCGAUCUGCAUCCGUGGUUCCGUUGAUGUCUUCCCGGCGGCUGGUGGCUUUCGUCUUCGAGUUCGGGUGGAAGGUGCUCCUGGUGCGGUCGCUCCUCCUCCCCCCCCCCUCCUCCCCCGGCCUCGGGUGACGAUGACAAGAGCCGGGAGGUCUGCGUGGGAUGGGCUUUCUCCUGCUGAGCAGGAGCUGAUGAAGGACUGUGCUCCGGCUCCAGCGGGUGGUGGGGUUCAGGGCUCGGUGCCUGGUACGGUGGCUGGUCCUGCGGCCGCGGCUGCUUCGAAGGGCACCCCCUUGUCGGGGGCGUGCUCCAACAUGCCCAUGCGCCCCACCUCCCCCUUGCUGUCCGGCAUUGAAGAUCUACCUCUAGUGGGACCUUCGGCGGCCAAGAAAAGGAAGAAGUCCUCGGUGAAGAAGUUUUCCGCGAAGAGCCAGGCCUCGGGGGACUCCAGGCAGUCGGCGGCUGGGCUCUGCCGCCGUCUGGAGGCGGACCUGGGGGCGGCUUCGGGCCCUUCUUCGGCGGCGGCUUCCCCUGGUCGGGCCCCUCCGGUCCCUGUGCGCUCUCCUGCCUCGACCGCUCGCAAGAGUGGCCGCGUCUCCAACAGUGGCGAGCGCGUGGUGGAUCGGGCGGCUCGGCGUGCGGCGGCGCGUGAUCUUCCCCCCUCAGGUUUGGAUUCACCCUCAUCUCCUUCCCCCCCUUUGGCUCAGUCUCCUGUUAGGCUUGUUUUACCCUCCCAUUCCGAUGAACAUCUCCUUUCGAUAUUAGCUGAUGUUGGGAUAUGUCUAGACACUAGCGUGGGUUCUUCCUCCUCUCUGUUGCAGUUGAUUCGUGCUAAUGAACGUGCUCAGGCUGAUAUCGCCAAGGCAAAGGAGGCCGGGACUGGGAUGGAUGCCCCUCUGGUUGUGGCCGGAGGGGAACCGGGCGAGGUUGCUAGGGGGCAGCUGUCUCCGGUGCAGAAGCGCGGGGCCGGGAAACGUGCUAAAACCUGCAAGGCUCCGUGCAGAGGGUUCUACGCUAGGGGGCGCAGAGACCAACUGAAGGACUUAAUGUGCGCUGAAAGAAUUGAUUUUAUCGGGCUUGUUGAGACUCUUAAACCCUCCUUUUCUCCUUCUGAACUAUCGGCGAUUGCUGGGAUUGAUAGAUUUAGGUGGAAUUUCGUGGCCUCUGUUGGUCAGUCCGGCGGCUUUCUUCUGGGCACCAAUAAUGUCACCUUUGAUUUUGUGGCUUUCGACCAUGGUAUAUACUGGGCUAGUAUGGUAGUUUCCCUACGUUCCAAUAACACCCUCCUUGAACUUAUGGUAGUAUAUGGUCCGGCUGAUCAUUCCUUGUCACAAAUUUUCUUGGAUGAGAUUUUUACUAAAAUUGAUGCCUGCCAACUGCCACUCCUGAUUAGGGGUGAAUUUAAUCUGCUUCGGUAUCCUUCUGAUAAGAGUUUUGUCAAUUUCUCCUGGGUGCGGGCCGAGGCUUUUAAUGCUUUCAUCAGGGACACGGCUAUCCGUGAGAUCCCGAGGGUUGGGGCCCGCUACACUUGGACCAACCGACAGACUUGUCCUAUUCGCUCGGUUCUUGAUAGAGUUUUUAUCUGCCCUGCUUGGGAUGGCCUUUUUCCUCGCUGCUCACUUCGGGCCCUCCCCAUCGUCGGGUCCGAUCACGCUCCUCUCAUCCUUGACGAUGGUCUCUGCCCCAAUGGCUGCCAAAGAUUUCAAUUUGACGCGUCCUGGCUUUUAGUGGAAGGAGGAUGGGCCAAGAACCACUUUGCUGAGUCGAGGCGCGACAAAUCUAGGUUGAGUGCUCAAAUUAGUGCCCUCGACUCCCGUGCGGACAACGGUGGGCUCUCGGCUACCGAGUGGCAAGUUCGCUAUGGCCUUGAGAAGGAGCUUCUGGCUAUUCAUCGCCAAGAGGAAGUGUAUUGGAAGCAAAGGGGUACGAUUAAUUGGACUCUUAAGGGUGAUUCUCCCACGGCUUACUUUUUCGCCAUUGCGAAUGGCAGACAGCGUAGAUGUUUGAUUAACAGCCUCAUUAUUGAUGGUGUUAGGGUCUCUGAACCGCCGGUCAUUCUCCGUCAUGUAGUUCGGUUCUUCUCUAACCUGCUUUCGGCUAAACCAGACCUCGAAUUCGCGCUAGCCCCAGGCUUCUGGGCUCCCCUUGAUAGGAUUUCUCACGCUGAUAAUGAGCUUCUGUUGAUUCCCCCUUCUGAGGAGGAAAUUUUUGAUACUGUUUCUAUCUUUGAGCUCUCGGCUAGGGGUUGGGUUCUGGAUUUUCGUCGUUCUCUUUCUCCUGAAGAGUUGGAAGAUUGGCAGCGCCUUACUGCUUGCUUCCCCCUGCUCUCGGAGGAAGAGGAUGCCGUGGUGUGGCCCCUCUCCUCUUCGGGGCUUUUUUCGGUUAAAUCUGCUUACUCCAAGCUUAUCCCUGGGGGGCGCCCGGUCAAGUUUAAGCAUGUCUGGGGACCUCCAGGCCUUCGACGCCAUGCUAUCCAAGAUGAAAUCUACGGCGUCUGGGCUUCUUCGGCUUUCUUUGAGGACGGCUUCCUGAAUGCUCUUUUGGUGUCUGGUUUAGGCUGGCCUGCGUGCCAUGUAAGGCCGCUGGCCUUGUAA
RNAcentral lists this ribosomal RNA (4608 nucleotides) under Triticum aestivum (bread wheat). RNAcentral describes it as "partial small subunit ribosomal RNA". The record is from RNAcentral. Lineage: Eukaryota; Viridiplantae; Streptophyta; Magnoliopsida; Poales; Poaceae.